Molecule: ribosomal RNA, 1059 nt
Filed under: Chiloplacus demani
Lineage: Eukaryota; Metazoa; Nematoda; Chromadorea; Rhabditida; Cephalobidae
Description: eukaryotic LSU rRNA
Rfam family: Eukaryotic large subunit ribosomal RNA
Source: RNAcentral
CGAGGAUUCCCUCAGUAACGGCGAGUGAACGGGGAAAAGCCCAGCGCUAAAUCCUGCUGCUCUAACGGGUAGCGGGAGGUGUAGCGUAUAGUAGGCGAGUUGUUCCUUGACGGUUGUCGACUUAAGUUCUCCUUGACUGGGGUUCCAUAGAAGGUGAAAGGCCUGUUCAGUCGGCUGACCGUCUUGGACAUUUUCGUCCUACUUGGAGUCGGGUUGUUUGGGAACGCAGCCCAAAUUUGGUGGUAAACUUCAUCUAAGGCUAAAUACGGCCACGAAUCCGAUAGCAAACAAGUACCGUGAGGGAAAGUUGAAAAGUACUUUGAAGAGAGAGUUCAAGAGGACGUGAAACCGGUAGGAUGGAAACGGAUAGAGCCAACGAACUGGGCCCGUAUUCAGCUAGUCGACUCGUCGGCGGUGCGCCCUACGUCUUGCUAAAAGGCGUACGGGUGUAUGCGGUCGGCGGCCGGCUAGUGCAUUUGCGGGCUAUGUGCGCUGAGGCGUGUGCUGGAGCGCUGUAAACUGUUCGGCAGAGGCCUCGUCCCUUCUGGGGGCGAGAAACCUACGGGCGGGGAGCAGUGUUUCUGGUGCACGUAAAGAAAUAGCCGGGGCAACGCGCUAUUCCGCUGUCAGGCUAGCUGCUUGGUCGGUCGCAUGCGACUAGGCCUUGUUGGCUGGUCCGUACGGUGGGGUAGUGAUCCGUGCUAGACCUCGGUGUAAAAGUUGGUCAUCUCUCCGACCCGUCUUGAAACACGGACCAAGGAGUCUAGCGUAUUCGCGAGUCAUUGGGUGUCAAAACCCAUAGGCGAAAUGAAAGUGAAGGUCUCUUCCGGAGGCUGAUAUGCGAUCCGGGGCGUUUCGGCGCUCCGGAGCAGCAUAGCCCCUUCUCGACUGCUUGCAGUGGGGAGGCGGUAGAGCGAAUGCGCUGGUACCCGAAAGAUGGUGAACUAUGCCUGAGCAGGAUGAAGCCAGAGGAAACUCUGGUGGAGGUCCGAAGCGCUUCUGACGUGCAAAUCGAUCGUCUGACUUGGGUAUAGGGGCGAAAGACUAAUCGAACCAUCU